GAGUUUGAUCCUGGCUCAGGACGAACGCUGGCGGCGUGCCUAAUACAUGCAAGUCGAGCGCAGGAAACUGACGGAACUCUUCGGAGGGAAGGCAGCGGAAUGAGCGGCGGACGGGUGAGUAACACGUAAGGAACCUGCCUCAAGGAUUGGGAUAACUCCGAGAAAUCGGAGCUAAUACCGGAUAGUUCAUCGGACCGCAUGGUCCGUUGAUGAAAGGCGCUCCGGCGUCACCUUGAGAUGGCCUUGCGGUGCAUUAGCUAGUUGGUGGGGUAACGGCCCACCAAGGCGACGAUGCAUAGCCGACCUGAGAGGGUGAUCGGCCACACUGGGACUGAGACACGGCCCAGACUCCUACGGGAGGCAGCAGUAGGGAAUCUUCCACAAUGGACGAAAGUCUGAUGGAGCAACGCCGCGUGAGUGAUGAAGGUUUUCGGAUCGUAAAACUCUGUUGUAAGGGAAGAACACGUACGAGAGGGAAUGCUCGUACCUUGACGGUACCUUACGAGAAAGCCACGGCUAACUACGUGCCAGCAGCCGCGGUAAUACGUAGGUGGCAAGCGUUGUCCGGAAUUAUUGGGCGUAAAGCGCGCGCAGGCGGCCUUUUAAGUCUGAUGUGAAAGCCCCCGGCUCAACCGGGGAGGGCCAUUGGAAACUGGAAGGCUUGAGUACAGAAGAGAAGAGUGGAAUUCCACGUGUAGCGGUGAAAUGCGUAGAGAUGUGGAGGAACACCAGUGGCGAAGGCGACUCUUUGGUCUGUAACUGACGCUGAGGCGCGAAAGCGUGGGGAGCAAACAGGAUUAGAUACCCUGGUAGUCCACGCCGUAAACGAUGAGUGCUAGGUGUUGGGGGGUUUCCGCCCCUCAGUGCUGAAGCUAACCAUUAAGCACUCCGCCUGGGGAGUACGGCCGCAAGGCUGAAACUCAAAUGAAUUGACGGGGGCCCGCACAAGCGGUGGAGCAUGUGGUUUAAUUCGAUGCAACGCGAA
This 985-nucleotide ribosomal RNA is filed under the name uncultured bacterium. RNAcentral's name for it is "bacterial SSU rRNA". It matches the Rfam family "Bacterial small subunit ribosomal RNA", at positions 9 to 965 of the family's 1533-position model. The record is from RNAcentral.